CCUAAUAUAUCAAAAAUAUAUCCUGUAUUUUGUACAAGAAAAAUUCUCAAUAAGUAUCCUGUAUUUUAGGCUUAGUGCUAAGGUGAGGUGCAAUUUAAAUGUUUUCAUAAUGUCAAAACUAACCUCCAUCAUAAUUUUCAAACCAUUUUACCCUUUUCUCUUAUUUUUUCCCUUUUCCCCUUUCUCUUCAAUCUAGGUUGAAGAAGGAUCAAGAGAAGUGGUAAGUGCAGCCCUUCGUUCCGAAUUCAGUGUUCAUAGGUGGUAAGCGUAGCCUUUGAUUCCGACCUCCACGGUAAUUUUUUGACCUCCUGCUCUUGCUCGCGUAGGUGGUAAACUUCGAUCAACUCCAACUUGAAGGAACAUAGAGGAGAGGAGAGGAGACUGUUCACGCGCAGGUUGAAUGAACGUCAAAGAAGGUGGUCGUCCGUUAUGAGAGAGCGCAAGGUCCAAUUCUGAGAAUUGAUGAGGGCGAGGAGCUUGCCGACUUUUGGGAUUCUCUAGCUAGUGCUCCGGUUCUUAGUGAUGAUCUUGACAAAGUGGCCGGAAAACUCGAUUUUUCUGCCGGUAAGGAUCAGGUUGCAGCGGCAAUUCGUCUUGGGGUUGGUGGGAAGAAGGUGGAUGAAUAUGAUUUGGACUAUGAGAUUUUCCAGAAAGCGCUUUCGGGUGGUGUGGUUAUACAGAGAAAAAGAACCUAAUUUUUCAGGUUGAAAAAGUCCCUUUCCCUAAUUUUCUUCCUCUUCUUUUCAUUUGAUUUGUUUGGAGGGGCAAGGUGGCUGUUUAUGAAGUAUAUAUGUAGGAAAAUAAAUGGAUGCGCAGCAAGAAAUGGAUGGGGAUUGGAACAUUGUCUAGGAAGAAAUGGAUGUCCAGCAAUAAAUGUCUCUGCUUUUCGUCUGAUCAGUUCUGGCCAUUGGUACGUUGCCCAGCAAGAAAUGAAUGGGGAUUGGGAAAUUUUGAUUUUUUGACAAAUGGUUAUGAAGUAUAUAUGGAAAGAAAGUGUGAAUUAAGGCUCUCCAUCACUUCGUAACGGUCUCACCUGUGUCUCUGUAAUUCGAUCAGUUUGUUUACUCA
This is a non-coding RNA of Nelumbo nucifera (sacred lotus), 1068 nucleotides long. The record is from RefSeq and is a predicted model, not a curated record. NCBI's taxonomy places the organism in Eukaryota, Viridiplantae, Streptophyta, Magnoliopsida, Proteales, Nelumbonaceae.